GGGGCUGUGGCUCAGAGGUAGAGGGCUCAUCUAGCAUACGGGAGCUACUGGGUUCAACCCUCAGCACCACA
This 71-nucleotide transfer RNA is filed under the name Marmota monax (woodchuck). RNAcentral describes it as "tRNA.Ala". The record is from RNAcentral. Lineage: Eukaryota; Metazoa; Chordata; Mammalia; Rodentia; Sciuridae.